This 383-nucleotide ribosomal RNA is filed under the name uncultured eukaryote. RNAcentral describes it as "partial 18S ribosomal RNA". It matches the Rfam family "Eukaryotic small subunit ribosomal RNA", at positions 592 to 976 of the family's 1831-position model. The record is from RNAcentral.
CAAUAGCGUAUAUUAAAGUUGUUGCAGUUAAAAAGCUCGUAGUUGGAUUUCUGGUAGGAGUGACCGUGCCAGACUUGAUUGUCUGUGUAUUGUGUUGUCUCCAGCCAUCCUUGUGGAGAACUUUUCUUGCAUUAAUUUGUAGGGAUUGGGACCCGCAUCGUUUACUGUGAAAAAAUUAGAGUGUUUAAAGCAGGCAAUCGCUUGAAUACAUUAGCAUGGAAUAAUACGAUAGGACUUUGGUACUAUUUUGUUGGUUUGCAUACCAAAUUAAUGAUCAACAGGAACAGUUUGAGGAUAUUCGUAUGAACAUGUCAGAGGUGAAAUUCUUGGAUUUAUGAAAGACGAACGACUGCGAAAGCAUUUACCAAGGAUGUUUUCAUUAA